Long non-coding RNA from Wasmannia auropunctata (little fire ant), 1532 nucleotides. RefSeq lists it as uncharacterized. The record is from RefSeq and is a predicted model, not a curated record. The transcript has 3 exons. NCBI's taxonomy places the organism in Eukaryota, Metazoa, Arthropoda, Insecta, Hymenoptera, Formicidae.
ACGGGUAUUUUCCUCUGAAGGACGAUUAAGAAGUGCUUAGAGGCUCAGAAGUGCAAGUGAGAACUGUAACUACAGUCGAAGUACCAAGUCGAAAUUACGGACGGAUAUUUAUUCCGACUUGCGAAAACUGAAAAGAACAGACAAAGUUGUUGAUACAAGAGAUGCGAAGAAAAUCUCUUUUUUCAUUAUUUUCUCACAUUCUAACAUUCCCGUUUCUAACAUUUAUUAUGUUGCAAUAUUUGUGUCGCUUGCUUUGUCAGUUUCAUAUAAUUCCCGUUCAAGAGAUGAUUAAUUAAAGCAGCUUUAAGUUUCGAAAUCGAUGGAAGCAGAACGGAAGUUAAUAAGGCGCGAACGAUACGGUCGAGAGAAGACAGAGCACUGUGGUUUAUUUGGGUCGUUGACGAAUGCCAUAUACGUGACUUUCUAUUAUCCCUCGUAUACUCUCUGUCACCCUCUUGUGCAACUACCAAUCCCGGCACUUUAACUGCCUAAACUGCGGAAACUACAGCGAAUACUACGUCCUAACAUAACAGAUGCAUCUCUUAGCCGAUUAAAUAGCUCGAGUUCGCCAAGAAACAUUCAAAAUGCAAGAACAAAGUAUGAGGAACGGUCUGCGACAAUCGCUUUCUGGGAUAAAGGAAAUAAUAUCGGAACGAGUUAUCUCAGAAGUGGCUCGGAGAGCGUUUAAAGGAUUGGGUCUCAGAGCAAUAAUUGAAUCUCUCCGCUCGUUCUCGUAUCUGGCAGGGUAUCAUGAGAUCGGGAGGACGAUGAGAUAAGAAUCGCUAUGUCAGUAGGAAAGGAAAAUGAGGGGGUGCGCACCGACGUAUCUGCCAACCGGCACCGCCCUUCGUUCAAAUACGACCGCGCGACCAGUUAAGAAUAUUUUAUCGUGGAAUAUUCGCGCGCAAAGAUCGGUAGACGGUCCCACACUCCUGCAGGAAUUCUCCUGACAUAGCAGAUUUUGCAAGGGUCCGACCGUGCCGACUGCGUGAGCAUUUUUCUUUCUUAUCUUUCGGCUUCCCUUUGCCGCUGUACCUCCGCUGCGACAGACACGUGCCAAGUGAAAUGAAGGAAAUAAAAAUUCGAAACGAUUCGCGGAAGAUUAAUCUUAAACAUCGAGACAAUAGGAUUUAGUGAGAAACGGAAGAUGUGAAGCAUCGAUAAUGUGAUUCAUGAAGAUGUAAUAUGUAUUAGAGAGGAAAGAGAGAUAUACAUGUAACGAUCAAAUAUCUUUUUAUGACUAACGACAUAGUGGAGAAAAAAUCAUAAGAAUCAUUCGUAAAUAGUAUUAUAAAGGUUUCAAUUUUAGUUCAUACAACAACUAACAAGUAUUUCAAGCACCAUAGAAUGGAGAAACAGGUCAAACAGAACAAUCGUAAGAGUGCAUUCAUUAGCGCGCCGGCGCGGCCAAUUAUUUUCAUACAGUUCAUUGGAAAUUAAACUAUAAUCUUUUAUCUGGUGUGACUUUACUUAAGUAUACUUCUAUUAAAUAAUCGUGUGCCUACAUAAAUUCAUAUUUAAAUAACACUAAU